GCCGGGCUAGCUCAAUGGCUAGAGCAUGAGGCUUUUAAAUCGAAGAUUACCUCAAGGCUGCGAGUUCGAGUCUCGCGUUCGGCU
Non-coding RNA from Tothia fuscella, 84 nucleotides. The record is from the annotation of a GenBank genome assembly. Lineage: Eukaryota; Fungi; Ascomycota; Dothideomycetes; Venturiales; Cylindrosympodiaceae.